GGACCUGAGAGUGGGCAGCCACUACCUGAAGCUCUUGGAACAGAACCAGACUUCUGGCCGGGGCUCAGUCAGUGCUUGCAAGAUGUUUGUUGGCACCAGGCUGUGCCAGGAGAGCAUCAUUAUAAACUGCUGAUCUACUGUUUCUUUGUCAAACGGGAGGAGAUAACAUGAGGGUCAUGAGAAAUGUUUGCAGACGGAGUGAAUGCCUUGAAAGUGCUGCGACCAGGUGCUGACACCCGGAGGUCUGGCUGCUCAAAGUGUUAGCUGACACGGAAGACACACGGACUUUCCCUCCAUUCCCCAAAACUCCCCUUCCCUGACUCGUCAGCUGCAUAAAAACCCUCUCCUUAUCUCUUUGUCAAGGGGAUUUGAGAAAUCUUGCUGUCUUGUCUUCUUGCUUUGGCCAAAUGGAAUAAACCUUUCUCUGUCUCCAGAC
This is a long non-coding RNA of Homo sapiens (human), 436 nucleotides long. Lineage: Eukaryota; Metazoa; Chordata; Mammalia; Primates; Hominidae. The record is from Ensembl.